GAUGAACGCUGGCGGCGUGCCUAAUACAUGCAAGUCGAGCGAACAGACGAGGAGCUUGCUCCUCUGACGUUGGCGGCGGACGGGUGAGUAACACGUGGAUAACCUACCUAUAAGACUGGGAUAACUUCGGGAAACCGGAGCUAAUACCGGAUAAUAUAUUGAACCGCAUGGUUCAAUAGUGAAAGACGGUUUUGCUGUCACUUAUAGAUGGAUCCGCGCCGCAUUAGCUAGUUGGUAAGGUAACGGCUUACCAAGGCAACGAUGCGUAGCCGACCUGAGAGGGUGAUCGGCCACACUGGAACUGAGACACGGUCCAGACUCCGACGGGAGGCAGCAGUAGGGAAUCUUCCGCAAUGGGCGAAAGCCUGACGGAGCAACGCCGCGUGAGUGAUGAAGGUCUUCGGAUCGUAAAACUCUGUUAUUAGGGAAGAACAAAUGUGUAAGUAACUAUGCACGUCUUGACGGUACCUAAUCAGAAAGCCACGGCUAACUACGU
This 496-nucleotide ribosomal RNA is filed under the name uncultured bacterium. RNAcentral's name for it is "partial 16S ribosomal RNA". It matches the Rfam family "Bacterial small subunit ribosomal RNA", at positions 28 to 506 of the family's 1533-position model. The record is from RNAcentral.